RNAcentral lists this ribosomal RNA (253 nucleotides) under uncultured bacterium. RNAcentral's name for it is "partial 16S ribosomal RNA". It matches the Rfam family "Bacterial small subunit ribosomal RNA", at positions 524 to 776 of the family's 1533-position model. The record is from RNAcentral.
UACGUAGGGUGCAAGCGUUAAUCGGAAUUACUGGGCGUAAAGCGUGCGCAGGCGGCUUUGCAAGACAGAUGUGAAAUCCCCGGGCUUAACCUGGGAACUGCAUUUGUGACUGCAGGGCUGGAGUGCGGCAGAGGGGGAUGGAAUUCCGCGUGUAGCAGUGAAAUGCGUAGAUAUGCGGAGGAACACCGGUGGCGAAGGCGGCGACCUGGGACAAUACUGACACUGAGGUGCGAAAGCGUGGGGAGCAAACAGG